This 68-nucleotide transfer RNA is filed under the name Monodelphis domestica (gray short-tailed opossum). It matches the Rfam family "tRNA". Rfam says of the family: Transfer RNA (tRNA) molecules are approximately 80 nucleotides in length. Their secondary structure includes four short double-helical elements and three loops (D, anti-codon, and T loops). The record is from Rfam by way of RNAcentral. Lineage: Eukaryota; Metazoa; Chordata; Mammalia; Didelphimorphia; Didelphidae.
GCAAAGGUAGUUUAAUCAAAACAUUAGAUUGUGAAUCAAAAUUUAGAAGUUUAAACCUUUUCUAUGCU